ACAUGUAAAUUUUUGUAAAUAAUUUUAAUCUAAAUGAUUAAUGUAAGUACUUUACAGUAAUUAAAUUUAUAAAUCAAAUAAUUUUGGAUUUAGAAAUACUUAAAUAAUAUUGGUUAAAAUUGUGCCAGCAUCCGCGGUUAGACAAUUUAAUAUAAAUAAAUAUUUUCAGUUUUAUAGUUAAUAUAUAUAUAUAUAUAAUAAAUAAAAGUUUUAAAAAUAAAGUGAAAUUUUUUUUUAUAAAAUUAUUUAAUUUAAUUUAAUAUGAAGCUAUUAAAUUUUAUUAAUAAACUAGGAUUAGAUACCCUAUUAUUAAAAAUGUAAAUAAUAAAAUCUAAAUUAUUAAUAGAUAUAUUCUUUAAAAUUAAUAAAUUUGGCGGUAUUAUAAUCUAAUUAGAGGAACCUGUAUUUUAAUUGAUAAUCCACGAUAAAUUUUACUUAAUUUUGUAUUCAAUUUGUAUACCGCCGUUAUCAGAAUAUUUUAAUAGAAAUAAAAUUUUCUAAAUUUUUUAUAUAAAAAUGAUUUCAGGUCAAGGUGCAGUUUAUAAUUAAGUAUAUAUGGGUUACAAUAAAUUUAUUUAAAUGAAUAUAAUUAUUGAAAUUUAAUUAUUAAAGUGGAUUUAAAAGUAAAUUAAAUUAUUUUAUUUAAUUGAUUAUAGCUCUAUAAUAUGUACACAUCGCCCGUCGCUCUCAUUUAUUAAAAUGAGAUAAGUCGUAACAAAGUAGAUGUAUUGGAAAAUGUAUCUAGAAUGUUCAAAUUAUAUCUUAA
RNAcentral lists this non-coding RNA (766 nucleotides) under Cephalcia infumata. Lineage: Eukaryota; Metazoa; Arthropoda; Insecta; Hymenoptera; Pamphiliidae. The record is from RNAcentral.